GAUGAACGCUGGCGGCGUGCCUAAUACAUGCAAGUCGAGCGAACAGACGAGGAGCUUGCUCCUCUGACGUUAGCGGCGGACGGGUGAGUAACACGUGGAUAACCUACCUAUAAGACUGGGAUAACUUCGGGAAACCGGAGCUAAUACCGGAUAAUAUAUUGAACCGCAUGGUUCAAUAGUGAAAGACGGUUUUGCUGUCACUUAUAGAUGGAUCCGCGCCGCAUUAGCUAGUUGGUAAGGUAACGGCUUACCAAGGCAACGAGGCGUAGCCGACCUGAGAGGGUGGUCGGCCACACUGGAACUGGGACACGGACCAGACUCCUACGGGAGGCAGCAGUAGGGAAUCUUCCGCAAUGGGCGAAAGCCUGACGGAGCAACGCCGCGUGAGUGAUGAAGGUCUUCGGAUCGUAAAACUCUGUUAUUGGGGAAGAACAAAUGUGUAAGUAACUAUGCACGUCUUGACGGUACCUAAUCAGAAAGCCACGGCUAACUACGUG
Molecule: ribosomal RNA, 497 nt
Filed under: uncultured bacterium
Lineage: Bacteria
Description: partial 16S ribosomal RNA
Rfam family: Bacterial small subunit ribosomal RNA
Source: RNAcentral